UUUUUCAUUUCCCUGUAGCGCGACUUUCAAUUUUCAAAGGCCGCCCAAAUUUUCACUUAACUCCAACCUAAAUUCCUCAAAUUAGGUUGAACUCGCCUCAAAUUUUCAAAGGCCGCCCUAGUUGAACUCGCCUCAAAUUGGUAAUUUCUCAAAUUAGUCUUAUGUCUUCUUCUUUCGUUGAGUGGUUGUCUCCUUUUUCAUCUCACAAGCCAUGGAAUUUUCAUGGACGAGGACAUUGUUAAUCUCUUUUUCAGCUCUAUACAAGCAGAUCGCAGUACGGCAGUACGGUAUUUUUUCGAUCUGUUUCUAUACUUCCAGCGAUUUUUUCCUUCGAAAAAUGAUAUAGCAGUUGAUUUAGCCUUUUGGUUCAAUUGAUUAAUGAAGUUGGGUUCAGAUCUGGCUAUCAAAUUCUUCUUGAAUCGCAUUAACCCUCAAAACCUCAAAAAAUAGGUAAUAUUUAAUCUCGAAAGUGUAAUUGAAUUUCUAUGUUUCUUAAAAUCAUUUUGUCGAUUUUCGGCCAUUUUUUCUUGCCUAAUAUGUUGGUAGAUUUUUUAUGGCUCUUUAUUUAUUUUCCUCUCUUCUGGGGGCACAUCAAAGAAAGAUUAUUGUAACUCCUAAUCUAUUCGAAUUUCAGUUCAAGCAAGAUGAGAAUAAACGAUUUACUUUAAUAGCACCAAGAAUUUAUUAUGUUUUGAACAAUUUGGAUAAAUUAGUUUGAAUUAAAUUUCCAUUUUAAUAAAUUGUAGACGAAAUGAUAAAAUUCCAGACUUCUCUAUGUUGCCCAAGUGUACUGCUGCAUAUCUCAUAUUCAUUGAGAUUUGCUCCUCCUCUUUCAUUGCAAAGUUUUAGUAAACUAAAUUCGUUUGACUGCUUUUUUUAUCUGAUAUUUUUGCCUUUGAAUUUGUUUCAAUUUUCACUCUUUUAUUAACUAAUUUAACUCAAUUGUGAUUUUCUGGGGAAACCAUACCUUUUGUUUCAAUUAAGCUUCCACCAAUUUUAAAGUGCUUUGCUAAGUGCUAAUUGGAAAUUCAAUUCAACUCGGUGUGGUCAUCAUAUUGUUGUAUCUUAGAUGCUUUUCUCUUCUUAGUAGAGACUACAGAGUAAACAAUCCAUUUUAAUGAGUGCUGAGUGUUAAUGUUUUUGUGUCCUUGGUCCAUGGGUGGAAGUUUUGAAGCCUUCACUUGGCUUGAAAGUUGAAGGGAAUCCAACAGGCUGAACUUCUUGAAGGUUUUAACUUUUUACCUUUCUUUUCAUCUUUAAUUUUUAUCUUUGUAGUUCUUAGCUACCUCAGUAUUUAGUACCACUACAGGUCUCUCGAUAUUUUUCGUUCUGAAUAUUCUAUAGCUAGCUCUUUUCCAUAUGGAUAGCUUAAGCUUUGUGCAUAGACUCUCUUUAAUAAUUGAAUUUAAAUUAAGGCUCCUAUUCCUUAUCUCAAUUGUAGAUUGAAAUAUAUCCAACCAUUUUUUAUAGCAUAAAGGCUGAACAUAACAUGAAGGGGAGUAUAUAUAGUGAUCAUAGGUUGUAUCUUCCUAUAUGAAUACUAAAGCAUUAACGUGUGUAUUCUCUCUCUUCACCUUAGCUAAACAAGGAUAAGGAAGGCAGUCUUAGUUUAGGUGGCGUUCUCUUGAUGUGCCUCCUACUGAUUUUGAGCAUUAGUAUACUUUCCCUUUUCAUUUUCGGUAUGCUUUUUGUUUUUAAAUUGGUUUCUUUGUUGUAGACGAUGAUACCUGACUCUUCUCCCCAAACCGGCUGACAUAAUUAGUUUGUUCCUGCUUCACAGGUCAGGCUGUGGAAAAUAUUUCUAAUUGCUGAUGAAUGGCCUAAUUUCCAUGGUUUUUGAUGUUAUAAUAUGGUAUAAUAGAAAAUAUGUUUUUAACAACAAAAUAAUUACGACCAAAGCUAAUUUUGGUCGUUAUGUGCAGCCUUAUGACGACUAGUCUAGAUGUUUGUCGAAAUAGAGUUUAGCAGGCAAAAUAAAUUUAUUCAUCAAACACCAAUACCGUUGUUAUUUGUGGUAAAGUGAAGCAGGAUAAAAUUUUUAGGUUUUCCAAAUUUUAGUUUCACAUUUACACUCUUUGUGAAAUAAAAACAAUAAAAAUUCUGAAGCGCUCUUCUCCCCCCUUCUAUAAUUCAAUGAAAUACACAUUGAUUUAACAUUUUUAAUAUAUUCGUUGUUAAAUCCACCGAAAUUUUACCUCUAUGGUCAAUUCUUUCCCCUAAAUCUAAUUAUUUUUUCGCAAGUUCUUGAAUUGAGAUUCUAGGGUUUUAGCGACAAUAUUCUUAAUGCUUGUUAACUAGUUGGUUAAAUUUGUAGGACGAGUGGUUGUUUUUAUCAUGGAUUGAUUAUGGAAGUUCAACAUAUUAUGAUCGAUGAAGUUGAGAGUUUGUAUAUACAAGGUUUUCAUUCCUCUUCUCUGCUUUUCUAUUUGUCCCUAAUUUGUUAUAGUUUUAAUUGUGCUUGCUUUAUUUAAUCAACAGUUUAAGGUUUUCAAUAUAUUUGUAAUUAUACUAGGAUUUUUAUGAACUCUCUAUUGGUAAAACUCUUGCUAAAAAUUGGGAUCUGCAUUAUAAGGUUUGGCCGAAAUACAGAACAAGAACUAAAUUAGUUGUAGCGAAGAAAAUGCAACGCGCGCAUCGAAGCCAAUUGUUGCAUCUAUUUCCAAUUUAGCGUUCAAUUACGUCGAAAACAACUAGUUUAAUACACGAGUUUAAGAGAAGUGAGCUCAAUAGUCUACAUCUACAACUGUUGGGAGUGCGCCAGACACAUCUCCUUUGCCCAGAAUAUAGUUGUGGUGGUUGCAGGUAGUUUAACAGGUUUUUAAAUCAAAAUCUCGAGAUCGGGUUGUAGGUUUUGGAGGAGGAAUAAAGCUUCAAGAUGUAAGGGGACCACAACCCAGUAGAGUAGAGCUUUAAACUAAAUUAAAUGCUGCCAACAAACGGAAUGAAGUUCUUGCAAAUCGCAUGGAGGAAGUACAAGCUGAGAACAAUGAAAUGAAGGAACGUGUUAGCUUGGUUGAGUCUAGAAUUAAAAUGUUUCAAGAUGCAUUAGUCUCGCAACUUAAUGUUACAAUUCCAACUUCACAAGCUGGAUCAGAAAUGCAAAAAUAGGUUGAAGCUGCUACACAUCAGUUCUAGAUAUUUGGUGUAAAUUUUCUUAAUUUUUUUUAAGAACAAGGAUUUAUUAAGAUUUAAUUCUUAGUAUGGACCAAGUUAAAUAUUUGAUCUUAUUAGUUUGGUUGUUUUGACUCACAUUGAAUCUUGUGACUGAUUACGUUUAAUUAAUAUAAAUUUAUUGUAUUAUUCUAUA
This is a long non-coding RNA of Spinacia oleracea (spinach), 3307 nucleotides long. RefSeq lists it as uncharacterized. The record is from RefSeq and is a predicted model, not a curated record. The transcript is spliced from 3 exons. Lineage: Eukaryota; Viridiplantae; Streptophyta; Magnoliopsida; Caryophyllales; Amaranthaceae.